AUGAGGAUUAACAAGGCUCAAGGGCAGACCAUCCCGAUUGUUGGCGUGUAUCUACCUAAUCCAGUGUUCUCUCAUGGUCAACUCUAUGUUGCGUUGUCUCGAGCCACCGCGAAGAGAAACAUAAAGGUCCUCGUUGAGAAGGAGAAGGAGAAGGAGAAGUAG
This 162-nucleotide ribosomal RNA is filed under the name Triticum aestivum (bread wheat). Its description in RNAcentral is "partial small subunit ribosomal RNA". The record is from RNAcentral. Lineage: Eukaryota; Viridiplantae; Streptophyta; Magnoliopsida; Poales; Poaceae.